This 497-nucleotide ribosomal RNA is filed under the name uncultured bacterium. Its description in RNAcentral is "partial 16S ribosomal RNA". It matches the Rfam family "Bacterial small subunit ribosomal RNA", at positions 28 to 507 of the family's 1533-position model. The record is from RNAcentral.
GAUGAACGCUGGCGGCGUGCCUAAUACAUGCAAGUCGAGCGAACAGACGAGGAGCUUGCUCCUCUGACGUUAGCGGCGGACGGGUGAGUAACACGUGGAUAACCUACCUAUAAGACUGGGAUAACUUCGGGAAACCGGAGCUAAUACCGGAUAAUAUAUUGAACCGCAUGGUUCAAUAGCGAAAGACGGUUUUGCUGUCACUUAUAGAUGGAUCCGCGCCGCAUUAGCUAGUUGGUAAGGUAACGGCUUACCAAGGCAACGAUGCGUAGCCGACCUGGGAGGGUGAUCGGCCACACUGGAACUGAGACACGGUCCAGACUCCUACGGGAGGCAGCAGUAGGGAAUCUUCCGCAAUGGGCGAAAGCCUGACGGAGCAACGCCGCGUGAGUGAUGAAGGUCUUCGGAUCGUAAAACUCUGUUAUUAGGGAAGAACAAAUGUGUAAGUAACUAUGCACGUCUUGACGGUACCUAAUCAGAAAGCCACGGCUAACUACGUG